RNAcentral lists this ribosomal RNA (253 nucleotides) under uncultured bacterium. RNAcentral's name for it is "partial 16S ribosomal RNA". It matches the Rfam family "Bacterial small subunit ribosomal RNA", at positions 524 to 776 of the family's 1533-position model. The record is from RNAcentral.
GACAGAGGGUGCAAACGUUGUUCGGAAUUACUGGGCGUAAAGCGCGUGUAGGCGGCUCUGCAAGUCGGAUGUGAAAUCCCUCGGCUUAACCAAGGAAGUGCAUCCGAAACUGCAGUGCUUGAGUACUUAAGAGGAUCGCGGAAUUCCCGGUGUAGAGGUGAAAUUCGUAGAUAUCGGGAGGAACACCAGUGGCGAAGGCGGCGAUCUGGGAAGAUACUGACGCUGAGGUGCGAAAGCGUGGGGAGCAAACAGG